This 301-nucleotide ribosomal RNA is filed under the name uncultured bacterium. Its description in RNAcentral is "partial 16S ribosomal RNA". It matches the Rfam family "Bacterial small subunit ribosomal RNA", at positions 509 to 808 of the family's 1533-position model. The record is from RNAcentral.
CAGCAGCCACGGUAAUACGUAGGUGGCAAGCGUUGUCCGGAAUUAUUGGGCGUAAAGGGCUCGCAGGCGGUUUCUUAAGUCUGAUGUGAAAGCCCCCGGCUCAACCGGGGAGGGUCAUUGGAAACUGGGAAACUUGAGUGCAGAAGAGGAGAGUGGAAUUCCACGUGUAGCGGUGAAAUGCGUAGAGAUGUGGAGGAACACCAGUGGCAAGGCGACUCUCUGGUCUGUAACUGACGCUGAGGAGCGAAAGCGUGGGGAGCGAACAGGAUUAGAUACCCCAGUAGUCCCUGUCUCUUAUACA